RNAcentral lists this long non-coding RNA (742 nucleotides) under Cyanistes caeruleus (blue tit). Its description in RNAcentral is "lncRNA (ENSCCEG00000006284.1)". Lineage: Eukaryota; Metazoa; Chordata; Aves; Passeriformes; Paridae. The record is from RNAcentral.
AAUCUUUCUAUGACUCAGCUUCUAAGAUGUAAAAUGGAAAAAAAUCUUUAUCAUACUGCCUAUCUUCCUUUUUUGCUGUUGGUUCAAACUCUUAGUUCAGUGGGUUCAAGGCUAUCUCUUAACACGCAUCUUGUAAAUGGACAAUCUUGAAAGAUUUCUGCAGUCAGCACAGCUCACCUCUAUCCUGGGACAUGUCUGUGCUCUGCAAUCUGUUUUACAUAGCAGCUAAAGAAAAUACUCCUGAUAUGAACUUACUAAUUAAUCAACACCAGAAAGUAUGAGAAAAUGAAAGUCUCUCACACUGUCCCUGGGGGAAGACGAUCGACAAGAGAGGCAAGUGGUUUAGAGACCUUCAUCUGGAGGCCUGGUGACCUUUAUCUCCCCAGAUAUCCUCAUAAGAAGAAAAUGUCAAGUAAUUCUCACUGUUAAUAAAAUUCUUAAUAUUAGGUCAACUGCACAGCAAAUUCUUUCCUCUGCCAUCUUGGUCUGGGAAUGUGAGGUCACUGCUGUUAUGGUAGUAUACAUUUCCAUAGGUUUUGUAGAGAAAAAAUAUAUUUUGCUUUGUAUACUUCCCUAAUACAAAUCCUAGCCAAUCUCACAAUGGAAAAGUUGGAAGCUUUCUUUCGAGACUUGAUAAAGCAAUGAUCUUGGAAUUAUUUUCUAAGUUCUAAGGCUCUUUUGCUGCAAUCUCCAACCUGUCCAAGGAAAUCUAAAAUAAAAGACAAAUAAGUUGUUAAUGACA